CACACAGUAGAUUUCUACUGAUCGGGGGAGCUGAAAGCCCGGUUUCAUUACUGGAUCCCGAGUAAGCUCCCUGUCUGCACCCUUGUCUUUUGCGUACCUAUGUUUCCUCGGCAGGCUUGCCUGCCGAUUGGACAAUUACAAACUCUUUUUAAUUUUAAAUCAGCGUCUGAAUAAUUUUAAUAAUUA
This 186-nucleotide unclassified non-coding RNA is filed under the name uncultured Phaeosphaeriaceae. RNAcentral's name for it is "sequence contains ITS1". The record is from RNAcentral. Lineage: Eukaryota; Fungi; Ascomycota; Dothideomycetes; Pleosporales; Phaeosphaeriaceae.